GCUUAUCUUCUAAGUCAUGGUUCUAACUUCUGAUUGUCUGUUUUGCAUUAGAUUCUUCUGGCAACGACGUCUACAGAUGGAAAAUGUCGGGUAUUUUCAACAUUCAUCAAAGGAGUUGACACAAAGGAUUCAAAAGCAGGCUCACCAGCGGAAUCUAAAUUCGGGGAGGUUUGUUUUCUUUGGCAGGCUUCCUCGUUUUAGUAAUUUUCUCACCCUCUCCUUUACUUUGUUGAUGACGUUGGCCCUUCUCCUUUAGCCCAAAGCUUUGCAUUUCGAGAUUUGCCUCUUCGUGAUGUGGGUGCUCUUUAUUUCUGAGAAAAUGGUGAUAAGCGUUGGUUAUGACAGCAACCCAAUGGUAUUUGCUGCAGAUGAUACUGGAAUAUGUUUUCAGAAGCCUUUACGAAAUUCUACGGUCAGUCAAAGGCUACAACAGCCAAUGAAGCUUCUGAGUCCUCUAAAUCACGUGGAAGCGUUCAUGAUAACUGCAUAAAUUCCAUUGUAUCUCUUAGCAAAGCUGGGAGUCCUCAAGUAAUGCGAUUCAGCACUUCAGGAUUAGAUGGCAAAAUAGCUAUAUGGGAUCUAGGGAACAUGCAAGAAGAACUUGGCCAUCAGUUUUAAUAAACACAUAAAUAAAAACAAAUCUGGAUUUACUUAAUUUGUAUAUCAGAUUCUUUUGUUUUUCCCAGUAUUUUGUAAGCAUUGACAAUUUCUUAAUUGUUUCACUUUGUAAACUUAUAAUAAUAAAGUUUGGAACUGUAUCCUCA
Long non-coding RNA from Brassica napus (rape), 764 nucleotides. RefSeq lists it as uncharacterized. NCBI's taxonomy places the organism in Eukaryota, Viridiplantae, Streptophyta, Magnoliopsida, Brassicales, Brassicaceae. The transcript is spliced from 6 exons. The record is from RefSeq and is a predicted model, not a curated record.